This 497-nucleotide ribosomal RNA is filed under the name uncultured bacterium. RNAcentral's name for it is "partial 16S ribosomal RNA". It matches the Rfam family "Bacterial small subunit ribosomal RNA", at positions 28 to 507 of the family's 1533-position model. The record is from RNAcentral.
GAUGAACGCUGGCGGCGUGCCUAAUACAUGCAAGUCGAGCGAACGGACGAGAAGCUUGCUUCUCUGAUGUUAGCGGCGGACGGGUGAGUAACACGUGGAUAACCUACCUAUAAGACUGGGGUAACUUCGGGAAACCGGAGCUAAUACCGGAUAAUAUUUUGAACCGCAUGGUUCAAAAGUGAAAGACGGUCUUGCUGUCUCUUAUAGAUGGAUCCGCGCUGCAUUAGCUAGUUGGUAAGGUAACGGCUUACCAAGGCAACGAUGCAUAGCCGACCUGAGAGGGUGAUCGGCCACACUGGAACUGAGACACGGUCCAGACUCCUACGGGAGGCAGCAGUAGGGAAUCUUCCGCAAUGGGCGAAAGCCUGACGGAGCAACGCCGCGUGAGUGAUGAAGGUCUUCGGAUCGUAAAACUCUGUUAUUAGGGAAGAACAUAUGUGUAAGUAACUGUGCACAUCUUGACGGUACCUAAUCAGAAAGCCACGGCUAACUACGUG